GACAAUUGUAGGUGCAGUUAGUAUAAAAACUACAUCGACCCAUUUUUUGUACAAUGUAUAUGCGGGUAUGAGAAAAACUUUUCUCCGGUCAGAGUGCCAUCAAUAUUGGUGGCAACUUCAUGUGGCAACAAAGUGUCAACUAUCUCAUCACAUGUAAAAAAAUUUGAUUUGCAUGUUAUCUAAUUUAGAGGAUGCUCAAAGGAGGUAAUAUUCUAAAUUGUAAACUUAAUCUCCAUGUUUUACCAACUUAAAUAACUGAUAUAUAAACACAAGUUGGAUGAUUUUGCUUUGAUCAGACUGUUGUUUGAAAAUUUAAUUUUUAUGCUCUUUCUAAGUUCUUAUAUUUUGUUUCUUUUAAAAAUGCAAUUUCUUAGUUGUAGUAUCUAUCAUCUUUUAAAAUGAUUCCAUAAUUUCUCUUUACCAAACAACCAUUGAUCUCUCCCGUUAAAUCUUCGCCGGCUCAAAAUCCGUUCAAAAAUCUCACCGUUUCGCCAAUUCACUCCUACCUCAUACACAGAUCUAUACUAUUAUCUGAAUUGUUGGUCGACGAAAUCGUUUCAAACACACAUAGCCCUAAUUCAAAUCCACACCCGUCGAUUACUUCUCGAUCGUUUAAGCUUAUAUAUUUCGGUGUUUCUCUUGUUCUAUAGCCGAUCUGGAGGUGUCGAAGUGCCUACUAUAUCCCAUGAUCAAUCGUUUCAACCACCUAGGGUUUCUGAUUAAAUAGAAAUUAGAAAAGGGGAUCACAAAAUUGGCUCCAGUAAUUCAUGGUUCUCGUCGCGCGGUACGAACAACAAGAUUUGAUUAUAAAGAAAAGCGAUAUCUUGGAUUAUGAUGAUGGAAGAAGGCUAUUAUGUAUGGGCGGUGGGAAGGGGAGCUAUGGUUCCACCGGCGGCACAUGUGGCCGGUCCCAUCUUCCUCCAAGCCAUCUGUAGCUGCUCCUUCCAAUUCCUUCGUAUUGAUUGACUCUAACUCUUUCUCCAAAGUAUAUAUAAUUUUUUAUUCCGUUUAUAUACCCAUAUCCAUUACUUGUAUGUAUAUUUAUAUAUCAAUUUUGAUUAGUUUACCUGCUUCAGUGCUCUUGUAAGUUAGCUCUAUAUAUGAAUACUAUUUCAAUGAGAGAGAGAGAGAGAGAGAGAGAGAGAGAGAGAGCGUGAGAGAGAAAUGUGGGCCCAAAUUAGUAAUUUAUUUUCUUUUUCCUUUAANUAAAAGAGAGAGAGAGAGAGAGAGAGAGAGAGAGAGAGAGAGAGAGACCCUUUAAUAUUAAUUAAUUAUAAUUAUAAUAUUAUUUUUUAAAUAAGACAAAAACUUCAUAAAUGGUCCCUGUCUAGUGAAAAAUGUCCCUGACUUAACGGCUAGAUGGUAACAGAGUUAGACGGAAAGACCAAAUGUUAAAAGUUUUGAAACCACAUGGACCAUCUAUGAAGUUUUUUGAACUUAAGGACUAAACUUGAUAUUUUUGGAAACCACAGGGAUUAUUUUUAAAGUUUUGUCAAAAAAAAAAAUUACAGCAUGCAAUUAGUUGCGAUGAAGAGCUUGACAUUUGAUAGACGAUUUCAUGUGGUAUUGUAAACUUCUUUUUUAGUUAUAGGUUUGUAGGAUUUUUGUAUGCCACAUAUUCCCAAAUUAAGCAUUAGAAUCUGGUAAGCUUUCCUUGAAUUUUUAUUUCUUUAUUGAAGAGUACAGUUUACAUUGGAUAAUUAUAUGAGAAAAAAUUAUAUGUUUUAUUCUAUGUUUCAAUACAAACAAUAUGUAUGAGCAAUACGGUUUAUUCCCUGUUAUUUAUGUACUGAAAAUGAAAUAAAAAAUAUUUUUAAAAUAUAUGAACCGUAUGGUACACGGGCUUUAACCUAAUAUAUANAUUUUUUAUUUCAAAAACCUAUAUAUAUAUAUAUAUAUAUAUAUAUUAAAAGAGGGUGGAGUUAGCUACAAUACCUAACUCCACCACUUGUUCACCUGGUUACCACACAGGUUAAGUUUUUCACUACCCAAUCCUUCCACUGCUCACUCUAUCUUUCCUGACUACUCCACCUACCGACUACUUCUUCUCUUCUACUCCAAUUUCCAUCAGGAUCAAUCUCCACUUCUCAUUGGAAAUCAAUUUAUCAAAGUUCAUCCAUUCGCCAUCCCUUCCAGUCAUGUGGCCUCCGUUGGGCUACCGACAACGACAGAAGGGAACCACCGCAUCGCCAUGGCCUUCGUUUGUGGGUUUUCAUCGGCGUUCCUGCUCUCCUUCUUAUGGCUUUGCUAAUAGCAGGAUCGGACGUAAACAGUGGCGAGAUAGUAAAGCGGAGGAGAGGAAGGCUGAAGAAAUUUGUGUUCGACGUGUCGCACAACAUGCGAUCAACUCUCAAACCCAAAAGCAACACUACCAGCAGCACACACAACAUACAUCGACGACACAUGCAACUAAUACCAGCGCCUCCCAUUAGAUUCUAAGGUUCCAUAAAAGAAAAUGGUUAAUACAUUUAAGGUUUUCCUUCUAUCUAAGAAAUUGACGAAUUUAAGCUUUAUCUUGGAUCGAUUGUCCAACUACUUAAUCGAUGGUUUAAACUUUCUCUUCAAUCGAUGGAGUCCAGGAAGUCGAGGUCUUUUGUCUCAUUCUAAACACCUUCACGCCACUAGCAUUAUAGGCUAUUGAAACUCUGUUCUUCAUCAUUCACUACAACCUACUGAUUCACAACCACAAAUUCGACUUUAACGCAUUAGGGUUUAUAAACAUGACUAUAGAAAAAGAUCUGAAUUCAGUCUGUCUUUGAAUAAGAUAAUUAAUAUAUCAGAUAGCAAUUCUUUACAAUUUUCAUCUUAAGAAUAUAAAAUUUCAUUGCAAUCUCAUUUUGUUGCAGAAAAUAAGAGCAGAUGAUUGCGAUAUGCGUAUGUUGAAAAGGUCCGAUACUUUUUCUGAAUAAAGUAACUACUGAAUCAAAUACUUGAUAGAAAUUAGAAUCAACGGCCAAACAAGAUAUGCCAGGAGAACAGUCGUUGUAGUGGUUCCAUGUGGUUGGCUCAAUUUUUUAUAGCAACAUCAAUAAUUUUUUGUUUCAAUUUGCCUAUGGUAUCAUACUAGGCGAUAUUAAUUAUAAGUAUAUAGUUAGAGGGAUAAAUGUGUAACUUAUAGGCUUAUAUAUACUCGUGUAAUUAUUAUUCAUAAUACACAAUACAUACAUAAUUCACAACAGAUUGUUAUGGUAUCAGAGCCAACCGAAUACCUUACAAAACCCUAAAAUCUGUUGCCGCCCUCUGCUGCCAGACUCACUGUUCAUCGAGGUACUAUUCACGAAGAUAUUGUUCACGAGACUACUAUUCACGCCCUCUUCUGCCUCCUGAUCAAUGUCACCUUCUGCUACCUCUACAAUGACUCACACUUUUUUCUUCUAAAGAUAAAACAACGCACAACUCUCACAAAUUCGGCUUCACUUUACUCCUCCUCCUCCUCCAACUCCCGUUUCCACCAACCCAUAUGUAUCCUCUUACCCUGACCCUUCCCAAAUCCCACAUUCCUCUCCAACUCCAAAUAACUCUAAUAAUCUGCCACAACAUACGACAUUUCCCUCCUCGGAUAUUCCAUCCGAACCCAAACUCCCCAUUCACACAUAUCAUCGUCAACGUUCCUCUUCCAACACUUCUGACCAACCCUACUCUUCCGCCUUUGAUUUGUUCCAACGAGCCACUUCCGCUACCACCCCACCGACCCCAUAACCGUCGGCAUCCGACCCACCAACAUCCACCACCCACCGACCUCACCCUGCUCAUUUACGACAACAACCCAAACAAACCAAACCUUUCUCACAUGAAUCAUUUCACACAAUAACUACUUCCUCCAUUCCUGAACCUACCUCCCACUACUAGAAAAACAGCCUUUUACGACGCUCAUUGCGCGUCGUAAAAGGCUUAGACGACGCACAUUUACGACGCUCAUUUACGACGCGCAAUUACGACGCGCGUUUACGACACGCAAUGCGUAUCAAGGAAGGCCCUGUCAUAAAGGAAGACGACACGCAUUCGUGUGUCAUAACCUUACGACGCACGUGGUAAUGACACACAAUGCGUAUCAAGAAAGCCCCUGUCAAGAAAGGCCAUGUCAUAAAUGAAGAUGACACACAUUUUUGCGUAUCGUAAUUUUAAAUGUUUAAAAAAUAUAUUAUUUAUAGAUUUACUUAUUUUCAAAUUAAAUUUGUAUUUAAUGUUUCAUAAUAGAAAUUAAAAUAUAAUAUACAAAAAAUAGAAUUCAUUGCAUAAAUUUAAUGUCAUACAAAUAAUCGUUAACAAAAAUUCAUUUAAAAAAAAUCACAUGUCAAACAAGUUACCUAACAUUACAUGUCAAACAACACUAUAUGUUAACACUAAUAACACUUAAAAACAUGAUUUUUCUUACAUUUGGAGCACCCAAUAUUCCUAUAUCAGCAACCAACUUUAGGUCGAAUUCCAACCACCUGUAUAAGAACAAUAUUGUAAAAGAACAACAUUAGAAAAGUUAAUUAAUAUAUACCAGUACAACAUGUAUGAAUAAGUUCCUUAGUUUAUCUACUUUAUAUGUAAUUUCUCAUCAAUAACAGGUCUUGUUGCUGAGUUAUUCCCAUGCUGCCCUUGGUUGAAGUUUUACAUUUGAUCCAUGUAAGUCUAAUCAAUGGCAAGUCUUAGGAAUGAACCACAAACAGACCUAAGAACAGAAACAAUUGAUUAAGGACUAGAUUCCCUUACUAAACCUGUUUGUUGUAAUAGAAUAAUUCCACAAGCCAGCAUAAGAAAACAUCCAAAGUAAAAAAGAUCCGUUGUUGAAAGCGACUUCAACUUCCUGUCAAAACAAUAAAAGGUUGGUUGUUUUCUAGAUUAUCAAAUUAUUUAGUGUUUAUUUUAGCAUGCAUGCAAUGAAUAACAUUGAAAACCAAACCAAACCAAAAAGAGCCCAAGUCAAAAAAUGCAUGACAUCAACAUGUAAGGACUACUUACUAUUUUCGUUCAGAUACCUUCAACAAAUUCAACCAAUAUUAUCAAAUUGUUCAUUAUUCUCUACUUUUGUUGAACCAAUGUUAUCAAGAUUCAAAUCUAUAGAGCACCCAUGUCUUAGACACACGAAGCGAUCUAGCAAGCAUGUACCGGAGGUUGCUGACAUGUGCAAGUCAUAAAAACAUAGAUAACAUUCUUUUUCAUUAGUUUUUUCAAAAUCAUCUUCCAUUUUUUGAAACUGAAAACUGGUUUGAAGGUGUUGGAUCCUUUUUUAGCUCCAUUUUAACUCUCAUUUGAAAUUAUUAUAUUAAAAGAACAUUAGAAAACAACAAAUAAAUAAAUAAAUAAAUAAAGUUUUUUUUUACCUUGACAACAUUGGUGAGUAUCCCAUUCUUCCCACAAACAUGUUUCCAAUAUAAAUUCUCGCAAGUUUCUUUAUUCAAAAAUCAAGCUUCCCAUAAAGCCCUAAUCCUUUCUCUAGCUAAUAACGACUUAUGAGAUAUUGAUGUUUUUCGUCUUUGCUGACUGUACACCUCGACGACACCUUGUCCAUGUUCUAGCCAAUCAACAAGCGCCACAUUGACAGCCUCCACACAGUUAAAACCACAACUGAAUCCUGCAUUAUAUGCCCUUGGAAAAGUAACAAUAAACUCUCCACAACACUGAGAAGCUCGAUAAACUGGGACCCCUUCAGACUUCAAAAUUUUAGGGCUCAAUUGAGUAACCUGUUAAGAUUAAAUCAUUUAUUCAUUAUCCAACACUAUAUCCAGACACUACUUAUUGCGAAAAAAAAAAUUACGAGUUGAUGGAGUAGAUCUGUUUGUUCCUUAAAAAAAACAGAUAGAUAUCUGAUUUUGAAUUGGUUUAUUGAAUCUGAUCCAAACAGGUAUAUUGCCUUAAAAGAUAAAAAAAAAUAUUUUGAAGAGUUUUGUAGUUUAAGUUUUGGAAAAUUGGGUGGCAGGACAUGGGUGAAGAAUUAUUUGGGGGUGAUGAUAAUAUUUAUAUUGAUAUUAAUAUUUCAGGCAAAGUUCACGAUGCUCAUCACAGCAGAUUCCUGCAAUGUUCAUUAAUUAUCAGUUUGAUGAACUGGAUAUUUUUAUCUAGAGUAGUACCUACCUGUGUGUGUUGGACUUUUGUGAAGAUUUCCAUUUUUUGUUUAAACAGCUUUGCCAGAUGAGUUUCCAGGAGCUGACUCUUCCUAGCCUUGUUGGUGUUUGAAUGGUUUUUGUCAUUUUUGGAAGGCUUGGGGCUCGGUAGUCGGUACCGAGCAAAAUUAUACAACUGUGGGUUGUGUGUCAUUCUUCUUCCUUG
RNAcentral lists this long non-coding RNA (6258 nucleotides) under Lactuca sativa (garden lettuce). Its description in RNAcentral is "long non-coding RNA (LSAT_LNC009130)". The record is from RNAcentral. Lineage: Eukaryota; Viridiplantae; Streptophyta; Magnoliopsida; Asterales; Asteraceae.